Molecule: ribosomal RNA, 440 nt
Filed under: uncultured bacterium
Lineage: Bacteria
Description: partial 16S ribosomal RNA
Rfam family: Bacterial small subunit ribosomal RNA
Source: RNAcentral
CCUACGGGGGGCAGCAGUGGGGGAUAUUGCACAAUGGGGGAAACCCUGAUGCAGCGACGCCGCGUGUGGGAAGACGGUCCUCUGGAUUGUAAACCACUGUCCCCAGGGACGAAGAUGACGGUACCUGGGGAGGAAGCUCCGGCUAACUACGUGCCAGCAGCCGCGGUAAUACGUAGGGAGCGCGCGUUGUCCGGAAUUACUGGGGGAAAAGGGAGCGUAGGCGGGGAUGCAAGUUGGGUGUCAAAACUACCGGCUAAACUGGUAGUCGCACUCAAAACUGCAGCUCUUGAGUGAAGUAGGGGCAGGCGGAAUUCCUAGUGUAGCGGUGGAAUGCGUAGAUAUUAGGAGGAACACCAGUGGCGAAGGCGGCCUGCUGGGCUUUUACUGACGCUGAGGCUCGAAAGUGUGGGGAGCAAACAGGAUUAGAUACCCUUGUAGUC